UUUAACAAAAACAUGUCCUUUUGAGGUAGAUAUAAGGUCGGGCCUGCCCCCUGAAUAAUUUUUAAAGGGCCGCGGUAUUUUGACCGUGCAAAGGUAGCAUAAUCAUUAGUCUUUUAAUUGAAGGCUGGAAUGAAUGGUUUGACGAAACAUUAACUGUCUCUAUAUAAUAAGUAUAAUUUAACUUUUGAGUUAAAAGGCUUAAAUGAAUAUAAAAGACGAGAAGACCCUAUAGAGCUUUAUAUAUUUAAUUAAUUAUGAAAUUUGGAUGAUUUAUUUAUGGUUAUUUAAUUAUAUUUUGUUGGGGUGACAUAAAGAUAUAAAUAACUCUUUAAGUAUAAUACAUUGAUUUAUGGUUAUGUGAUCCAUUAAUAGUGAUUUUAAGAUAAAGUUACCUUAGGGAUAACAGCGUAAUUUUUUUUGAGAGUUCAUAUCGACAAGAAAGAUUGCGACCUCGA
This 455-nucleotide ribosomal RNA is filed under the name Yersinella raymondii. RNAcentral describes it as "partial 16S ribosomal RNA". It matches the Rfam family "Bacterial large subunit ribosomal RNA", at positions 1803 to 2529 of the family's 2925-position model. The record is from RNAcentral. Lineage: Eukaryota; Metazoa; Arthropoda; Insecta; Orthoptera; Tettigoniidae.